CGCCGAUCAGAUCAGAUGUCGUUGCCGCAAAAGAGCCGCCGCCGCCGCAGGAGGUCUCCUCGCGAAGGACCCUCCCUCCGGCGCCGUGGUGAAGAAGGCGCAUCGUUGUCUCGAUCCCUUGUCCAAUCGGAUAGCAGCAGCACGACAUCCAGCGCACCGCCGUCCGGAUCCUUGGACGAGCCGCUGGCCCGCCAGUCCAGGUACCAUGAGAUCCUCGCCUCGCGCCUCGCCCGGUUGCAGUUACAAGCCGGCGUCGCCAUCGACAGACCAAAUCUUCCUUUGGAUGAAAUCGUCCAAAUCCUCGCUCGUUCUAAUUUCUAUGACGAUGAGCUGCGGGCUGCCCUAGUAGAAUAUCAAGCCCACAGGUUCUUGAGCGAACCCCACGGACCAGAUGUUCGAGAUACAUACUUUGGAGAGGACUCGGGCGAUGAUAUCACUGCGGAGGAAUUCGUCAGGUACUCCGGACAGCUAAAGACUCGCAGACCUGCUGAAAUUGACACUAAGACUGGACUGGAUCAAGAGCAGUUGGACAGCCUCCUUGCCAAGUAUAAACGUUAUCACUUCAAAGCUUACCUGUUGUUGUUAGGAAAGCCUGCCGACGAGCUAGAAGAAGCUGCAUUGGAAUGCAAGUACCCUAUGGAGCUUUGCUUGGAGAAUGAGUUCUUCUCUCCUUACCUUCAUGAUAGUGCCUUUGGCUGGUAUUUCGACCACGACCUCUGUUUACUUGCAAACUUGAGCGACUACCAGCGGCUAGUCCUUCCUAACUCUGUA
RNAcentral lists this ribosomal RNA (771 nucleotides) under Triticum aestivum (bread wheat). RNAcentral describes it as "partial small subunit ribosomal RNA". The record is from RNAcentral. Lineage: Eukaryota; Viridiplantae; Streptophyta; Magnoliopsida; Poales; Poaceae.